Molecule: transfer RNA, 64 nt
Filed under: Brookesia decaryi (spiny leaf chameleon)
Lineage: Eukaryota; Metazoa; Chordata; Lepidosauria; Squamata; Chamaeleonidae
Description: tRNA-Thr
Rfam family: tRNA
About the family: Transfer RNA (tRNA) molecules are approximately 80 nucleotides in length. Their secondary structure includes four short double-helical elements and three loops (D, anti-codon, and T loops).
Source: RNAcentral
GUCCUAGUAGCUUAGAUUUAAAGCAUUGGCCUUGUAAACCAAAGUCGGAUUUUCCCCUAGAACA